CCUACGGGGGGCAGCAGUGAGGAAUAUUGGUCAAUGGCCGGAAGGCUGAACCAGCCAAGCCGCGUGAAGGACGAAGGUGCCAAGCAUUGUAAACUUCUUUUGUCAAGGGACAAAAUCAGGCUCGAGAGCCUGACCGAGGGUACUUGAAGAAACAGCCUCGGCAAACUCCGUGCCAGCAGCCGCGGUAAUACGGAGGAUGCGAGCGUUAUCCGGAUUUAUUGGGUUUAAAGGGUGCGUAGGCGGACUGUUAAGUCAGCGGUAAAAGCCCGGGGCUCAACCCCGGCGAGCCGUUGAAACUGGCGGUCUUGAGAUGUCGAGAGGUAUGCGGAAUGCGCAGUGUAGCGGUGAAAUGCUUAGAUAUUGCGCAGAACUCCGAUUGCGAAGGCAGCAUACCGGCGGCGAUCUGACGCUGAGGCACGAAAGCGUGGGUAUCGAACAGGAUUAGAUACCCGAGUAGUC
Molecule: ribosomal RNA, 459 nt
Filed under: uncultured bacterium
Lineage: Bacteria
Description: partial 16S ribosomal RNA
Rfam family: Bacterial small subunit ribosomal RNA
Source: RNAcentral